This 508-nucleotide ribosomal RNA is filed under the name uncultured bacterium. Its description in RNAcentral is "partial 16S ribosomal RNA". It matches the Rfam family "Bacterial small subunit ribosomal RNA", at positions 28 to 523 of the family's 1533-position model. The record is from RNAcentral.
GAUGAACGCUAGCUACAGGCUUAACACAUGCAAGUCGAGGGGAAACGACAUCGAAAGCUUGCUUUUGAUGGGCGUCGACCGGCGCACGGGUGAGUAACGCGUAUCCAACCUGCCCACCACUUGGGGAUAACCUUGCGAAAGUAAGACUAAUACCCAAUGAUAUCUCUAGAAGACAUCUGAAAGAGAUUAAAGAUUUAUCGGUGAUGGAUGGGGAUGCGUCUGAUUAGCUUGUUGGCGGGGUAACGGCCCACCAAGGCUACGAUCAGUAGGGGUUCUGAGAGGAAGGUCCCCCACAUUGGAACUGAGACACGGUCCAAACCCCUACGGGAGGCAGCAGUGAGGAAUAUUGGUCAAUGGACGAGAGUCUGAACCAGCCAAGUAGCGUGCAGGAUGACGGCCCUAUGGGUUGUAAACUGCUUUUACAAGGGAAUAAAGUGUGUCUCGUGAGACUUUUUGCAUGUACCUUAUGAAUAAGGACCGGCUAAUUCCGUGCCAGCCGCCGCCGUAA